This 484-nucleotide ribosomal RNA is filed under the name uncultured bacterium. RNAcentral's name for it is "partial 16S ribosomal RNA". It matches the Rfam family "Bacterial small subunit ribosomal RNA", at positions 30 to 507 of the family's 1533-position model. The record is from RNAcentral.
AUUGAACGCUGGCGGCAUGCCUAACACAUGCAAGUCGAGCGGAUGAAUGGAGCUUGCUCCUGGAUGCAGCGGCGGACGGGUGAGUAAUGCCUAGGAAUCUGCCUGGUAGUGGGGGAUAACGUCCGAAAACGGGCGCUAAUACCGCAUACGUCCUGAUGUAGAAAGUGGGGGAGCUUCGGACCUCACGCUAUCAGAUUAGCAUAGGUCGGAUUAGCUAGUUGGUGGGGUAAAGGCCUACCAAGGCGACGAUCCGUAACUGGUAUGAGAGGAUGAUCAGUCACCCUGGCAGAGAGAAAGAGCAGCGACACUGACGCGAGGACGCAGCCGGGAAUCUUACGGGAGGGAGGAGUGCCUGAUACAGGACUGCGGCGUGUGUGCAGAAGGUCUUAGGCCUGUAAAGCAAUUUAAGUUGGGAGGAAGGGAAGUACGUUAACCCCUUGCUGUUUUGACGUUACCGAGAGAAUAAGCACCGGCUAACUUCGUG